Molecule: long non-coding RNA, 1073 nt
Organism: Lemur catta (Ring-tailed lemur)
Lineage: Eukaryota; Metazoa; Chordata; Mammalia; Primates; Lemuridae
Exons: 2
Source: RefSeq, a predicted model, not a curated record
CCCGGUUUGGCCUCAGCGUGUGGAGCACAUCCUGGCUUGGUUUGUUCCGACAGUCAAUGUCAAACUGCCUCAGGAUGAACUCUUCAUCAAUGUUCGAACUUCCCUGGAAGAAUAUCACAUUGCACGAACCGAAGGCGAAUGGAUUGUGAUUUUCAAGAUUUUGGACUUCGGGGAUUUCGAUCUUUCAAGAUCUCAACAUUCGGGAUCACAGUGCUCGGGGCCCAGGGAGAAAAUAACUGAUCAGCAAUACUAGUUGUCCUUCCAACAGACGUGUCUGCCACUGAUCAUUUCUUUAUUCACUCAUUCAGAAAGAUUUAUGGAGAGUCUACCAUGUGCCGAGCAUUGUUGGUACACACAGACAGAUAAAGUUCCUGCCAUUGCAGAGCUUUUAUUGCAGCGAGGAGCCCAGUGGUGACAGGCGCAAUGAUGAAUAAUGGAGCAUGGUACGGGAUAGAGAACGAAGGUGGAAGAGAAAUGCUGUUUUGCAUGGGCCUCUCCCAUCAGGGGACAUCUGAGCAAAGAUCUGAAGGACGUGAAGGAGUGAGCCGAGCAGCCAGCUGGGGCAGGUGCUCCAGGCAUGAGAAAGAGACUUGAACUGGACAUGCUCAUAAUGUCCACAGAACAGCCUGGGGGCCAGAGCGGCUGGAGGGGAGUGAGUGAGGGCAGAGGAGCAGGGGUGAGGUUGGAGCAGGAUCAGAGUAGGGGUGGGGUUGGAGAGCAGAACACACAGGGCCUUUCAGAUUCCAGCAAGGGCUCUGGCUUUAUCUGAGUGAGAAGGGGCCACUGAAGGGCUUUGAGCAGAGAACUAUCUUUCUGAACCACUGUCGCACUCUCUGUGCAGGGGGCAGGCUGCAGGGGUGCGGAGGAGGGAGCAGUCACUGCUACUUCCCCACCCAACUUCCAUUCUGCCCUUUUCCCUUUGGUCUAACAGAACCUGGGUUGUUUUCAAGGCUGCAAUGCCAACUAAGAAACUGACUUUUCUGGACUCCCUGGCAUCAAGGAGUGGCCAGAUAAAUGGGAUGUUUACUGGGAAAGGUAUUUUUCUCCCAAUUAAAAGAGUCAACUGGCACACA